Molecule: ribosomal RNA, 2892 nt
Filed under: Pseudomonas aeruginosa
Lineage: Bacteria; Pseudomonadati; Pseudomonadota; Gammaproteobacteria; Pseudomonadales; Pseudomonadaceae
Description: 23S ribosomal RNA
Rfam family: Bacterial large subunit ribosomal RNA
Source: RNAcentral
UCAAGUGAAGAAGCGCAUACGGUGGAUGCCUUGGCAGUCAGAGGCGAUGAAAGACGUGGUAGCCUGCGAAAAGCUUCGGGGAGUCGGCAAACAGACUUUGAUCCGGAGAUCUCUGAAUGGGGGAACCCACCUAGGAUAACCUAGGUAUCUUGUACUGAAUCCAUAGGUGCAAGAGGCGAACCAGGGGAACUGAAAACAUCUAAGUACCCUGAGGAAAAGAAAUCAACCGAGAUUCCCUUAGUAGUGGCGAGCGAACGGGGAUUAGCCCUUAAGCUUCAUUGAUUUUAGCGGAACGCUCUGGAAAGUGCGGCCAUAGUGGGUGAUAGCCCCGUACGCGAAAGGAUCUUUGAAGUGAAAUCGAGUAGGACGGAGCACGAGAAACUUUGUCUGAACAUGGGGGGGACCAUCCUCCAAGGCUAAAUACUACUGACUGACCGAUAGUGAACCAGUACCGUGAGGGAAAGGCGAAAAGAACCCCGGAGAGGGGAGUGAAAUAGAACCUGAAACCGUAUGCGUACAAGCAGUGGGAGCCUACUUGUUAGGUGACUGCGUACCUUUUGUAUAAUGGGUCAGCGACUUAUAUUCAGUGGCAAGCUUAACCGUAUAGGGUAGGCGUAGCGAAAGCGAGUCUUAAUAGGGCGUUUAGUCGCUGGGUAUAGACCCGAAACCGGGCGAUCUAUCCAUGAGCAGGUUGAAGGUUAGGUAACACUGACUGGAGGACCGAACCCACUCCCGUUGAAAAGGUAGGGGAUGACUUGUGGAUCGGAGUGAAAGGCUAAUCAAGCUCGGAGAUAGCUGGUUCUCCUCGAAAGCUAUUUAGGUAGCGCCUCAUGUAUCACUCUGGGGGGUAGAGCACUGUUUCGGCUAGGGGGUCAUCCCGACUUACCAAACCGAUGCAAACUCCGAAUACCCAGAAGUGCCGAGCAUGGGAGACACACGGCGGGUGCUAACGUCCGUCGUGAAAAGGGAAACAACCCAGACCGCCAGCUAAGGUCCCAAAGUUGUGGUUAAGUGGUAAACGAUGUGGGAAGGCUUAGACAGCUAGGAGGUUGGCUUAGAAGCAGCCACCCUUUAAAGAAAGCGUAAUAGCUCACUAGUCGAGUCGGCCUGCGCGGAAGAUGUAACGGGGCUCAAACCACACACCGAAGCUGCGGGUGUCACGUAAGUGACGCGGUAGAGGAGCGUUCUGUAAGCCUGUGAAGGUGAGUUGAGAAGCUUGCUGGAGGUAUCAGAAGUGCGAAUGCUGACAUGAGUAACGACAAUGGGUGUGAAAAACACCCACGCCGAAAGACCAAGGGUUCCUGCGCAACGUUAAUCGACGCAGGGUUAGUCGGUUCCUAAGGCGAGGCUGAAAAAGCGUAGUCGAUGGGAAACAGGUUAAUAUUCCUGUACUUCUGGUUACUGCGAUGGAGGGACGGAGAAGGCUAGGCCAGCUUGGCGUUGGUUGUCCAAGUUUAAGGUGGUAGGCUGAAAUCUUAGGUAAAUCCGGGGUUUCAAGGCCGAGAGCUGAUGACGAGUCGUCUUUUAGAUGACGAAGUGGUUGAUGCCAUGCUUCCAAGAAAAGCUUCUAAGCUUCAGGUAACCAGGAACCGUACCCCAAACCGACACAGGUGGUCGGGUAGAGAAUACCAAGGCGCUUGAGAGAACUCGGGUGAAGGAACUAGGCAAAAUGGCACCGUAACUUCGGGAGAAGGUGCGCCGGCUAGGGUGAAGGAUUUACUCCGUAAGCUCUGGCUGGUCGAAGAUACCAGGCCGCUGCGACUGUUUAUUAAAAACACAGCACUCUGCAAACACGAAAGUGGACGUAUAGGGUGUGACGCCUGCCCGGUGCCGGAAGGUUAAUUGAUGGGGUUAGCGCAAGCGAAGCUCUUGAUCGAAGCCCCGGUAAACGGCGGCCGUAACUAUAACGGUCCUAAGGUAGCGAAAUUCCUUGUCGGGUAAGUUCCGACCUGCACGAAUGGCGUAACGAUGGCGGCGCUGUCUCCACCCGAGACUCAGUGAAAUUGAAAUCGCUGUGAAGAUGCAGUGUAUCCGCGGCUAGACGGAAAGACCCCGUGAACCUUUACUGUAGCUUUGCACUGGACUUUGAGCCUGCUUGUGUAGGAUAGGUGGGAGGCUUUGAAGCGUGGACGCCAGUUCGCGUGGAGCCAUCCUUGAAAUACCACCCUGGCAUGCUUGAGGUUCUAACUCUGGUCCGUGAUCCGGAUCGAGGACAGUGUAUGGUGGGCAGUUUGACUGGGGCGGUCUCCUCCUAAAGAGUAACGGAGGAGUACGAAGGUGCGCUCAGACCGGUCGGAAAUCGGUCGCAGAGUAUAAAGGCAAAAGCGCGCUUGACUGCGAGACAGACACGUCGAGCAGGUACGAAAGUAGGUCUUAGUGAUCCGGUGGUUCUGUAUGGAAGGGCCAUCGCUCAACGGAUAAAAGGUACUCCGGGGAUAACAGGCUGAUACCGCCCAAGAGUUCAUAUCGACGGCGGUGUUUGGCACCUCGAUGUCGGCUCAUCACAUCCUGGGGCUGAAGCCGGUCCCAAGGGUAUGGCUGUUCGCCAUUUAAAGUGGUACGCGAGCUGGGUUUAGAACGUCGUGAGACAGUUCGGUCCCUAUCUGCCGUGGACGUUUGAGAUUUGAGAGGGGCUGCUCCUAGUACGAGAGGACCGGAGUGGACGAACCUCUGGUGUUCCGGUUGUCACGCCAGUGGCAUUGCCGGGUAGCUAUGUUCGGAAAAGAUAACCGCUGAAAGCAUCUAAGCGGGAAACUUGCCUCAAGAUGAGAUCUCACUGGGAACUUGAUUCCCCUGAAGGGCCGUCGAAGACUACGACGUUGAUAGGCUGGGUGUGUAAGCGUUGUGAGGCGUUGAGCUAACCAGUACUAAUUGCCCGUGAGGCUUGACCAU